Molecule: ribosomal RNA, 502 nt
Filed under: uncultured bacterium
Lineage: Bacteria
Description: partial 16S ribosomal RNA
Rfam family: Bacterial small subunit ribosomal RNA
Source: RNAcentral
AUUGAACGCUGGCGGCACGCCUAACACAUGCAAGUCGAACGGCAGCACGGUUUGUAGCAAUACAAAUGGGUGGCGAGUGGCGGACGGGUGAGUAAUGCGUAGGAAUCUACCCAAGAGAUGAGGAUAACGUGGGGAAACUCACGCUAAUACUGAAUACGCCCUUUGGGGUAAAGGUUGCACAAGCAGCCGCUUUUGGAUGAGCCUACGUUUGAUUAGCUAGUAGGUGGGGUAAAGGCCUACCAAGGCGACGAUCAAUAGCUGUUCUGAGAGGAAGAUCAGCCACACUGGGACUGAGACACGGCCCAGACUCCUACGGGAGGCAGCAGUGGGGAAUCUUGGACAAUGGGGGCAACCCUGAUCCAGCGAUGCCGCGUGUGUGAAGAAGGCCUUAGGGUUGUAAAGCACUUUAAUGAGGGAGGAGUAGGGUUCGUUGAAUAGGCGGAUCUGAGGACGUUACCUCAAGAAUAAGCACCGGCUAACUCUGUGCCAGCCGCCGCGGUAA